GAUGAACGCUGGCGGCGUGCCUAAUACAUGCAAGUCGAGCGAACGGACGAGGAGCUUGCUUCUCUGAUGUUAGCGGCGGACGGGUGAGUAACACGUGGAUAACCUACCUAUAAGACUGGGAUAACUUCGGGAAACCGGAGCUAAUACCGGAUAAUAUUUUGAACCGCAUGGUUCAACAGUGAAAGACGGUCUUGCUGUCACUUAUAGAUGGAUCCGCGCUGCAUUAGCUAGUUGGUAAGGUAACGGCUUACCAAGGCAACGAUGCGUAGCCGACCUGAGAGGGUGAUCGGCCACACUGGAACUGAGACACGGUCCAGACUCCUACGGGAGGCAGCAGUAGGGAAUCUUCCGCAAUGGGCGAAAGCCUGACGGAGCAACGCCGCGUGAGUGAUGAAGGUCUUCGGAUCGUAAAACUCUGUUAUUAGGGAAGAACAUAUGUGUAAGUAACUGUGCACAUCUUGACGGUACCUAAUCAGAAAGCCACGGCUAACUACGUG
RNAcentral lists this ribosomal RNA (497 nucleotides) under uncultured bacterium. RNAcentral describes it as "partial 16S ribosomal RNA". It matches the Rfam family "Bacterial small subunit ribosomal RNA", at positions 28 to 507 of the family's 1533-position model. The record is from RNAcentral.